This 74-nucleotide transfer RNA is filed under the name Caudoviricetes sp. Its description in RNAcentral is "tRNA-Pro". It matches the Rfam family "tRNA". Rfam says of the family: Transfer RNA (tRNA) molecules are approximately 80 nucleotides in length. The record is from RNAcentral. Lineage: Duplodnaviria; Heunggongvirae; Uroviricota; Caudoviricetes.
CGGAGCGUAGCGCAGUUUGGUAGCGCGUCCCGCUUGGGACGGGAAGGUCGCAGGUUCAAAUCCUGCCGUUCCGA